RNAcentral lists this small nuclear RNA (158 nucleotides) under Crocodylus porosus (Australian saltwater crocodile). RNAcentral describes it as "U1 spliceosomal RNA (ENSCPRG00005014347.1)". The record is from RNAcentral. Lineage: Eukaryota; Metazoa; Chordata; Crocodylia; Crocodylidae.
ACAAAAACCUUCACUGUCCAACCACCAAGGUGGUUUUCCCAGGGUGAGGUCUGUCCUUUGCACUCCAGGCAGGAUGACCCUUAUGAGUUUCCCCAAAUGUAGGCAUCUUGACUGCACAACUUUGUGAUAAUGGAGGAAUGUGUUCAUACUUUUCCCCU